GACGGAGGGUGCAAGCGUUGUUCGGAAUUACUGGGCGUAAAGCGCUCGCAGGCGGAUUGAUAAGUCGGGGGUGAAAUCCCGGGGCUCAACCUCGGAAUUGCCUUCGAUACUGUCUAUCUAGAGUCCGGGAGAGGUGAGUGGAAUUCCUAGUGUAGAGGUGAAAUUCGUAGAUAUUAGGAAGAACACCAGUGGCGAAGGCGGCUCACUGGCCCGGAACUGACGCUCAUGAGCGAAAGCGUGGGGAGCAAACAGG
RNAcentral lists this ribosomal RNA (253 nucleotides) under uncultured bacterium. Its description in RNAcentral is "partial 16S ribosomal RNA". It matches the Rfam family "Bacterial small subunit ribosomal RNA", at positions 524 to 776 of the family's 1533-position model. The record is from RNAcentral.